AGACUCCUACGGGAGGCAGCAGCAGGGAAUAUUGAGCAAUGGACGGAAGUCUGACGCAGCGACGCCGCGUGGAUGACGAAGGCCUUCGGGUUGUAAAAUCCUUUUCCGGGCGAUGAGGAAGGACACUAGCCUGGGAAUAAGCGUCGGCUAACUACGUGCCAGCAGCCGCGGUAAGACGUAGGACGCGAGCGUUAUCCGGAUUUACUGGGCGUAAAGCGCCUGCAGGCGGUCAGGUAAAGUCGGUUGUGAAAGCCCCGUGCUCAACGCGGGGAGGCCAAGCGAUACUGCGUGACUUGAGGGCGGAAGAGGGGAGUGGAAUUCCCGGUGUAGCGGUAAAAUGCGCAGAUAUCGGGAGGAACACCAGUGGCGAAGGCGGCUCCCUGGACCGCACCUGACGCUCAGAGGCGAAAGCUAGGGGAGCGAACAGGAUUAGAGACCCUGGUAGUCCUAGCCCUAAACGCUGGAUGCUAGGUGUAGGGCUGAUGAGGCUCUGUGCCGGAGCGAACGCGAUAAGCAUCCCGCCUGGGAACUACGGCCGCAAGGCUAAAACUCAAACGAAUUGACGGGGACCCGCACAAGCAGCGGAGCGUGUGGUUUAAUUCGAUGCUACACGAAGAACCUUACCUGGGUUUGACAUGCUGGUGGUACCGAACCGAAAGGGGAGGGACCCUUCGGGGAGCCAACACAGGUGCUGCACGGCUGUCGUCAGCUCGUGCCGUGAGGUGUCGGGUUAAGUCCCGUAACGAGCGCAACCCUUGCUCUUAGUUAUACGUGUCUAAGGGGACUGCCGGCGACAAGCCGGAGGAAGGUGGGGAUGACGUCAAGUCAGCAUGGCCUUGAUAUCCAGGGCUACACACACGCUACAAUGGCCGGUACAAAGGGCAGCCAAGCCGCGAGGUGGAGCGAAUCCCAGCAAAGCCGGUCCCAGUUCGGAUUGCAGGCUGCAACCCGCCUGCAUGAAGUUGGAGUUGCUAGUAACCGCGCGUCAGCCAUAGUGCGGUGAAUACGUACCCGGGUCUUGUACACACCGCCCGUCACGUCAUGGGAGUUGGCAACGCCUGACAGCGGUAGCCUAACCGAAAGGAAGGCGCCGACUAAGGCGGGGCUAGCGACUGGGACGAAGUC
Molecule: ribosomal RNA, 1125 nt
Filed under: uncultured organism
Description: bacterial SSU rRNA
Rfam family: Bacterial small subunit ribosomal RNA
Source: RNAcentral